UUGUAGUCUAGAGAAGCAUCAUCCGUGCUGGACCAUGUACAAGUCUCUUGGAACAGAGCGUCAUAGAGGGUGAGAAUCCCGUCCUUGACAUGGACUCCCAGUGCUUUGUGUUGUGCUCUCAACGAGUCGAGUUGUUUGGGAAUGCAGCUCAAGAUGGGUGGUAAAUUCCAUCUAAAGCUAAAUAUUGGCGAGAGACCGAUAGCGAACAAGUACCGUGAGGGAAAGAUGAAAAGCACUUUGGAGAGAGAGUUAAACAGUACGUGAAAUUGUUGAAAUGGAAACGCUUGAAGUCAGUCGCGUUCUCUGGGAUUCAGCCUUGCUUCUGCUUGGUGCAUUUCCUAGUUUACGGGCCC
RNAcentral lists this ribosomal RNA (353 nucleotides) under fungal endophyte sp. DM140. Its description in RNAcentral is "eukaryotic LSU rRNA". It matches the Rfam family "Eukaryotic large subunit ribosomal RNA", at positions 143 to 498 of the family's 3401-position model. The record is from RNAcentral. Lineage: Eukaryota; Fungi.